GUGAAUAUAGCUCAGAUGGUAGAGCUCAGGAUUGUGAUUUCUGUGGUCAUGGGUUCGAAUCCCAUUAUUCACCCCA
Molecule: transfer RNA, 76 nt
Filed under: Methyloprofundus sp.
Lineage: Bacteria; Pseudomonadati; Pseudomonadota; Gammaproteobacteria; Methylococcales; Methylococcaceae
Description: tRNA-His
Rfam family: tRNA
About the family: Transfer RNA (tRNA) molecules are approximately 80 nucleotides in length.
Source: RNAcentral